UUGCUCGGUCCCUCACCAAGAUGUCCACCCGCCUCGCCCGUGUGGCGUUAAAGCUUUGUCGAGCGGCUCGUUACUGGCCGGUCUGCUGAAGCGAACAUAAGGCUGACGCUUUGCGCACGGUGAGUGGUCGACGCCGUUGUCAAUCAACAGCAAACUUGGUCGUGGGUGGGAACUUCGGGGCGACGGAAAUCCUGUACCAGAAGUAGCCCGCAUUCAUGAACGACCUUGCCUUGAUUUUACGCGAUAAACUCCAACAUUGAAAGUUAAUUGACAAUAUGGUGACCAAGGUAAAGCGGAGCAAACUCUAUAUCGGUACGUAAGUCACAUCAACAUUGAGCCGUGCUGGCGUCAAUGGGGCUUCCAGCCUUUUUCCAGUCGUACAGCAGGGGGUAGCAUACUUUAGUCGCCACGUCAAAAAUCGGUAGUACAAGACGACCAAUCAAGUUUGGACAAGGUUUCUUAUUUCAUUAUUUUCGUCACAUAAAAAUGGUGUCCAAAUUGUUGCGCCGAUUUCCCACGUAGUGGUACUUACAUUUGAAUUAGUUUCAUGAGCAAACUUCAAAUUCAAACCUAAUUUUUUUUACUCAUUGAUUUUCAGCAAUCACGUUUUUUGUUGCAGUUCUAAUAGAUAAAGCAUUGUAAAAUAUGUGAACGUAAAAAACGUGAAUGAUAGGAAAUAUUUUUGUAUUGGUUACCCUUUGAGUUAAAAGAGGGCGUCGGUUAGAGUGGCGUCAGGACCCCGUGCUCGGCCUGUUAUUUUGCAUUUGUCUCUUAAAUAAACGACUGAAAAGACAUCGGCGACCGGCUCUCAACAGCUCCUCAACAGUUGUUUUCCUCACUUCCGUUGAGCGUAUCUUAAUUUUUCCUGUAAUUUCUAUUUGGGCUUGUGACACAAAGCAACAAAAAUAAACCGAGCUCCUCAAUUAAAACAAAAGUGUACACUGAUAUAUUUAAAAAAAUAUUUUUCUGAAUUAUUACAUGUUCUGAGGGACGACAUCAGAGCAGCUUGGGAGUGUUGCGAUUCGAGCACUUCAUUUCAUUGCAAGUUGUAAUGAAUCGAUGCGAAACGUCACGUGGAAGGGGAGGGGCAGACAGAAACAGAUAUACUUUUUUUCCUGAGCUGAAAAAUGGAAAAAGUGGAGCAAUGUGAAGGGUGAAAAGACGAGGAGGAGGAGGAGAAGAAAAGUACUGCAGAGAGGCAAGCCCGAAAGCCCGGAGCGAAUCUCGACUAUUAACUGGCCCUGGACUGGCCAGCAAAUAGCAACUACAACGUGACUUCAGUGACACCAUUUAAGGUUUGGACCAUGGCAACAAUAGUCCAAAUCAGGGCCCAAAGACGCACCUUGGUUUGUCCUUCUGGAAAGCGCCCGAUCGGAACACUUUAGUGGCGGAAACUCCAAGUGCAAAGAACCUUUUGUGUGUUUUGACUGCGCCUUUAGUUAACGCUGAUAAACAACAGCGCCUUCUUCUGGCACUUGAGAGGUCUAGAAACUUGGUGCAGCACGGACGAUUUUUGACUAGCAAUUGCAGAAAUAUUUCAGCAUUUCUGGAGCUUCAGGCGUGAAGAUGGACAGAUGGUCUUGGUGUGAGUCUGUACAAAGGUUUUGGCUUGACUUUCAUCAAUGGGCUUGUUUGUUACUCUUACGAUGUCUGAUGAAAAAUGUUUUUUUCAUAACGGUAAAUUUGAUUUUUUAUUAUUUUGUUGGCCAAACAAUAUAUACACAAAUCCCACCUCCUUAAAGCAAAAUCAAACAUUCUGCAUUGGAAGAAUGAUCUGAAAUCCUACAACAUUUUGUUAAAACUUAUUAACACCAAGAAUGCUGUAAAACUGACCUCAUUUAUUGAGAGGCUGUUUCUGUAAGAUGCUUGCUCUGGGUGUAUACUCUUAGGAUAUAAGAUGCAGUUGCCCUGUAAUGUGGUUUUUUUCUCUCCUGGUAUUGUGGAUGUCUUAUUUUGUUUUUGUCUGUUUGUAGUUGUAGAUGUUAUUAUACCUAAUGUGUU
Long non-coding RNA from Syngnathus acus (greater pipefish), 2001 nucleotides. RefSeq lists it as uncharacterized. NCBI's taxonomy places the organism in Eukaryota, Metazoa, Chordata, Actinopteri, Syngnathiformes, Syngnathidae. The transcript is spliced from 2 exons. The record is from RefSeq and is a predicted model, not a curated record.